UACGUAGGGGGCAAGCGUUAUCCGGAUUUACUGGGUGUAAAGGGAGCGUAGACGGCUGUACAAGUCUGAAGUGAAAGCCCGUGGCUCAACCGCGGAACUGCUUUGGAAACUGUAAAGCUGGAGUACUGGAGAGGCAGGCGGAAUUCCUAGUGUAGCGGUGAAAUGCGUAGAUAUUAGGAGGAACACCAGUGGCGAAGGCGGCUCUCUGGUCUGUAACUGACGCUGAGGCUCGAAAGCAUGGGUAGCGAACAGG
Molecule: ribosomal RNA, 253 nt
Filed under: uncultured Lachnospiraceae bacterium
Lineage: Bacteria; Bacillati; Bacillota; Clostridia; Lachnospirales; Lachnospiraceae
Description: partial 16S ribosomal RNA
Rfam family: Bacterial small subunit ribosomal RNA
Source: RNAcentral